UUAGCGCCGGCUAACUCUGUGCCAGCAGCCGCGGUAAUACAGAGGGUGCAGCGUUAUCGGAUUUCUGGGCGUAAAGCGCGCGUAGGCGGCUAAUUAAGUCAAAUUGUGAAAUCCCCGAGCUUAACUUGGGAAUUGCAUUCGAUACUGGUUAGCUAGAGUGUGGGAGAGGAUGGUAGAAUUCCAGGUGUAACGGUGAAAUGCGUAGAGAUCUGGAGGAAUACCGAUGGCGAAGGCAGCCAUCUGGCCUAACACUGACGCUGAGGUGCGAAAGCAUGGGGAGCAAACAGGAUUAGAUACCCUGGUAGUCCAUGCCGUAAACGGUGUCUACUAACCGUUGGGGCCUUUGAGGCUUUACUGGCGCAGCUAACGCGAUAAGUAUAACGCCUGAGGAGUACGGUCGCAAUAAUAACAAUCCAAUGAAUUGACGGGGGCCGCAAAAACGGUGGAGCAUGUGG
This 455-nucleotide ribosomal RNA is filed under the name uncultured bacterium. RNAcentral's name for it is "bacterial SSU rRNA". It matches the Rfam family "Bacterial small subunit ribosomal RNA", at positions 487 to 944 of the family's 1533-position model. The record is from RNAcentral.